GUGCGUCACCUAGCUGCUACUUUGUUGCCCUGCUUCCAGAGACAUGAUGCAUUCAUCAAGUGGUUGAUUUUAAAAGGACGCCACCAUGUGGAUCGACGACAUCUUGCGGCAAGUGGUGUACAUCAAACUGGUAGCCCUUCGCAUGAACCAGCACCAAAGAAGUUGCUAUCCGUUUCCCAAAGAUGGAAACUUGAACUGAAACUUACCUUGAACAAGGAGGACUCCCAGCACUGAAGUGAGCACCACAAUCCACAGCCCCAUGAGGUGAGAAGCAAAGAUCCUCACACGUGAUAUUCAAUUAGUUCAAAAUGUGAAGUUUAACUUUGAAAAAAAAGUAAAAAUAAA
Hippocampus zosterae (dwarf seahorse) is the source of this 345-nucleotide long non-coding RNA. RefSeq lists it as uncharacterized. The record is from RefSeq and is a predicted model, not a curated record. The transcript is spliced from 3 exons. Lineage: Eukaryota; Metazoa; Chordata; Actinopteri; Syngnathiformes; Syngnathidae.